Long non-coding RNA from Puntigrus tetrazona (Sumatra barb), 771 nucleotides. RefSeq lists it as uncharacterized. The record is from RefSeq and is a predicted model, not a curated record. NCBI's taxonomy places the organism in Eukaryota, Metazoa, Chordata, Actinopteri, Cypriniformes, Cyprinidae. The transcript is spliced from 2 exons.
GUUGGGAUAGCGCAAGUGAGCUGAACUUCUGCGCUGCUGUAGUGCACUAUCCUCAAUUUAAUACUUUAUUUCAAAAAUUAUUUUCUAUGGGGAAAACGUCUCCAGCCUCGUGUGUUUCCACCGACACCACCAGGAUCUGCUCCUCUCCCGGUAACUAACGGUUUACUGAGAAGUUGAGAUGUUUCCAGUGACAUCCCGGCCGUCCAGUGCCCUCAGAGCUUGUGAUUUCUGAAAGCAGGUAAGCCACUGACUAACGCACAUUGCGCCUAUUCUCCACUCCACUGUGCGUGUGACAGCGGCUAACCAGCUUUUGGAUGAGUUCCUGACUUCGGCGUCCCACCGAAGAGCCCUCGAAGGCGGAUGCGGCCCCUUUAGGGGUCCGCUUUGGGUUCCCGUAGGUCAGACGGUAAAACGCUGCGCUCAAAACCCAAAGGCCGUGCGCCAAAGAAGCGUAAAAAAGUAAACCCUCGCCUCUGAAUAAGCUUUGAUACGCAGUAACGCCGUCUGUUUGCACGUAUGCAGCUGCUCUGAACUUUUGAACUCGUACAGUUAUGCAAAUCCAGUUACGGCGUCACUGUGCAAACCGCUCUGAAUCAUAUCCACACAUCGCUCGUAACGCGCUUGUGUGCUUUCAUUCAUCAUAAUCAUAAUCGCACGGUCGGUUUCGGAGAUGUAAAGUCAAUGUGUUUUUGUGCAUGCUUUCCGAUACGUAAUUGUAUUGCAUUAAAAUAUAAAAAAAUUACACAGAAUAAAAUAUAUAUAAUUUUUUUA